UAGGACUCUUCCUAAGUCAGAAAACAUGCCCUCGUCACGUUUUCCACUCUAUUGUGAGCUCUCACGCGUUUUUCUCCUCAAGUCACAAAAGAGAAGGGUGCUGCCAAUUUAUAACACAUGAAAACAGCCCCAUUACACAAUAGUUGCCUAGUUUUUAGGCUUGCACUUGCCCACUACUUUAUCCCAAGUAUAGUUGACACCCCCAACUACUAGGAACAUGUUUAGAUAUGGGAUCAUAGCCUCAAUUCGUGCUAACUCCUGCCAGCAUAAUAGACAAAGGUCAACCGCUGCCCAUGUGCACAGCAUGUGCCGGUAACCGCCGUUUGACUUUGUCCAUUCUCAUGUUGCUGCCCAAUUUUGUGUGUUGGCUUGGACCAGGCGCCAAUGCCAUUGUCUCCAGCUAAAUUGUGCCCCAAUUUACCUUAAAUUUGCCCACGAACUUGGCCCUUUUGCCGCAACUCGAACCCACGCCAAAUUUGCCCGCACAUUGCCUUUCCGUUGCACAUUUGCUUGUCUUUUCCCAUCUGUUUCUGCCAUGCCUUGGCAUCAAUGCCUCAUGCCUUGAUGCUAUAAUCAAGAUCAAGUGCCAUCCGUAGCCCGCAACUCAUUGUCAAGCCCUUUCCAAGCUGCCUCGCAUCCGUUCAAAGUCUUAGCCAUCGCUUGCCCGUUUCCCUUUUUGACUUUUGGCGCCACUCUUGCACCAAUUUUGCAACAGUCUUGCUGCCUCAUGACAACACUCUUGUUGUCUCGCCGAGUUCAAUUGUUGGAGGUCUAACAAUUAACUUGUGGAGUUAGCUUUUAGGACUGGCAACAUUUAGGUCCUUUACUGUGCUUUUGACCUUUAAUGCUGCUGGAUACAAUUAUAAUGCCCUUCCAUCAAGCUCUUGCCAAGCUACCUCGCAUCCUUUCAAAGCCUAGCCAUCGCUUGCCCGUUUCCCUUUUCGACUUUUGGCGCCACUCUUGCACCAACUUUGCAACACUCUUGCUGCCUCAUGACAACACUCUUGUUGUCUCGCCGAGUUCAAUUGUUGGAGGUCUA
Molecule: long non-coding RNA, 1039 nt
Filed under: Nicotiana benthamiana
Lineage: Eukaryota; Viridiplantae; Streptophyta; Magnoliopsida; Solanales; Solanaceae
Description: long non-coding RNA (NBEN_LNC017738)
Source: RNAcentral